This 61-nucleotide transfer RNA is filed under the name Compsopogon caeruleus. RNAcentral describes it as "partial tRNA". It matches the Rfam family "tRNA", at positions 11 to 68 of the family's 71-position model. Rfam says of the family: Transfer RNA (tRNA) molecules are approximately 80 nucleotides in length. Their secondary structure includes four short double-helical elements and three loops (D, anti-codon, and T loops). The record is from RNAcentral. Lineage: Eukaryota; Rhodophyta; Compsopogonophyceae; Compsopogonales; Compsopogonaceae.
CCAAAUCGGAUAAGGCGCCUGACUGCGAAUCAGGAGAUUGCAGGUUCGAGUCCUGCCGUGC